RNAcentral lists this transfer RNA (71 nucleotides) under Deltaproteobacteria bacterium. RNAcentral's name for it is "tRNA-Ala". It matches the Rfam family "tRNA". Rfam says of the family: Transfer RNA (tRNA) molecules are approximately 80 nucleotides in length. Their secondary structure includes four short double-helical elements and three loops (D, anti-codon, and T loops). Further hydrogen bonds mediate the characteristic L-shaped molecular structure. tRNAs have two regions of fundamental functional importance: the anti-codon, which is responsible for specific mRNA codon recognition, and the 3' end, to which the tRNAs corresponding amino acid is attached (by aminoacyl-tRNA synthetases). tRNAs cope with the degeneracy of the genetic code in two manners: having more than one tRNA (with a specific anti-codon) for a particular amino acid; and 'wobble' base-pairing, i.e. permitting non-standard base-pairing at the 3rd anti-codon position. Lineage: Bacteria; Pseudomonadati; Myxococcota; Myxococcia. The record is from RNAcentral. RNAcentral also lists the same sequence under 1 other name.
GGGGCUGUCGUAUAAUGGGAGUACACCGCGGUCGCAUCGCGGGGAUGAGGGUUCGAUUCCCUCCAGCUCCA